RNAcentral lists this unclassified non-coding RNA (281 nucleotides) under Hevea brasiliensis (rubber tree). The record is from RNAcentral. Lineage: Eukaryota; Viridiplantae; Streptophyta; Magnoliopsida; Malpighiales; Euphorbiaceae.
CAGCAUAUUCUCCUUCCAAGCCUGCAUACACUUUCUUUUCUUCUUCAACAACCAUGUCCUCUAUACUCUGUUCACAGGGAGUGGUUCUGGCCACUGCCAUGGCUGUCUCCGGCACCGUAAUUCUCCUCGCUCUUCGCCUUCAAAAAUCUCUACCUGCCUCCCUCUUACCUAUUGACCAAAUUCCACAAUCUUCAGACCAAGUUCUGCGCUCCUGUAUCUCAUCAGAGGGGAAGAAAAAGAAGAAGAAAAAGCGGGUGCACUUUGCAGAGGAUGUGGUGGAU